Molecule: transfer RNA, 72 nt
Filed under: Ochromonas danica
Lineage: Eukaryota; Chrysophyceae; Chromulinales; Chromulinaceae
Description: tRNA-Met
Rfam family: tRNA
About the family: Transfer RNA (tRNA) molecules are approximately 80 nucleotides in length. Their secondary structure includes four short double-helical elements and three loops (D, anti-codon, and T loops). Further hydrogen bonds mediate the characteristic L-shaped molecular structure. tRNAs have two regions of fundamental functional importance: the anti-codon, which is responsible for specific mRNA codon recognition, and the 3' end, to which the tRNAs corresponding amino acid is attached (by aminoacyl-tRNA synthetases). tRNAs cope with the degeneracy of the genetic code in two manners: having more than one tRNA (with a specific anti-codon) for a particular amino acid; and 'wobble' base-pairing, i.e. permitting non-standard base-pairing at the 3rd anti-codon position.
Source: RNAcentral
AACGCUAUGGAGUAGUAGGCAACUCACAGGGCUCAUAAUCCUGGGUGGUACGUUCAAAUCGUGCUGGCGUUA